RNAcentral lists this ribosomal RNA (492 nucleotides) under uncultured bacterium. RNAcentral's name for it is "partial 16S ribosomal RNA". It matches the Rfam family "Bacterial small subunit ribosomal RNA", at positions 29 to 507 of the family's 1533-position model. The record is from RNAcentral.
AGUGAACGCUGGCGGUAGGCCUAACCCAUGCAAGUCGAACGGCAGCACAGUAAGAGCUUGCUCUUACGGGUGGCGAGUGGCGGACGGGUGAGGAAUACAUCGGAAUCUACUUUUUCGUGGGGGAUAACGUAGGGAAACUUACGCUAAUACCGCAUACGACCUACGGGUGAAAGCAGGGGAUCUUCGGACCUUGCGCGAUUGAAUGAGCCGAUGUCGGAUUAGCUAGUUGGCGGGGUAAAGGCCCACCAAGGCGACGAUCCGUAGCUGGUCUGAGAGGAUGAUCAGCCACACUGGAACUGAGACACGGUCCAGUCUCCUACAGGAGGCAGCAGUGGGGAAUAUUGGACAAUGGGCGCAAGCCUGAUCUAGCCAUACCGCGUGGGUGAAGAAGGCCUUCGGGUUGUAAGGCCCUUGUGUUGGGAAAGAAAAGCAGCAGGUUAAUACCCCGCUGUUCUGACGGUACCCAAAGAAUAAGCACCGGCUAACUUCGUG